GAUUAUGGCUCAGGACGAACGCUGGCGGCGUGCUUAACACAUGCAAGUCGAACGAGGAUAUGUCGGAGGAGAGCUUCGGCAGGAAUCAGGCAUAUUCGAGUGGCGGACGGGUGAGUAACGCGUGAGCAACCUGUCCCAGACAGGGGGAUAACACUUGGAAACAGGUGCUAAUACCGCAUAAGACCACGGUAUCACAUGGUAGUGGGGUAAAAGGAGCAAUCCGGUUUGGGGUGGGCUCGCGUCCGAUUAGAUAGUUGGUGAGGUAACGGCCCACCAAGUCGACGAUCGGUAGCCGACCUGAGAGGGUGAUCGGCCACAUUGGAACUGAGAGACGGUCCAAACUCCUACGGGAGGCAGCAGUGGGGAAUAUUGGGCAAUGGGCGAAAGCCUGAACCCCAGCAACGCCGCGUGAGUGAAGAAGGCCUUCGGGUUGUAAAGCUCUGUUAUAGUUGACGAAGGAAGUGACGGUAGGCUAUAAGGAAGCCCCGGCUAACUACGUGCCAGCAGCCGC
This 511-nucleotide ribosomal RNA is filed under the name uncultured bacterium. RNAcentral describes it as "bacterial SSU rRNA". It matches the Rfam family "Bacterial small subunit ribosomal RNA", at positions 15 to 518 of the family's 1533-position model. The record is from RNAcentral.